Molecule: non-coding RNA, 26 nt
Filed under: Mus musculus (house mouse)
Lineage: Eukaryota; Metazoa; Chordata; Mammalia; Rodentia; Muridae
Source: RNAcentral
UGGGGUCACAAUGGAAAUAGGCUUGU